Cannabis sativa is the source of this 3965-nucleotide long non-coding RNA. RefSeq lists it as uncharacterized. The record is from RefSeq and is a predicted model, not a curated record. Lineage: Eukaryota; Viridiplantae; Streptophyta; Magnoliopsida; Rosales; Cannabaceae. The transcript has 2 exons.
CAUAUUUAUGGCUCAAAAUAUGGGCAUGACAAUUUUCUCCUAAAAAAAAAUUUCUAGAGUUGGAAGAGUUUUUAAACAACCGAAGCUGGAACAAUUUGGUCUUUCUCUUACCAGUAAUGAGUACAUCCUUUUGGCAAUUUAACUUUCACCGAGAAAGGUAAACUAAUUAUUAAUUAAAUGUUUUUUCAUCUAACAGGCUUUUUACCAGUCUCUUUGUAUUUCCUAGAAAUGUCCUCAGCCGUUUAAUCUAAUUUGAAACCUAAUCAAUAGUUCUCUAUAUUUUAAUAUAAGAAAGAUUUUUUACAUAGCCUUUUUUUUUACCUCAUUUGAAAUACAAAACCAGAGAAAAAAUACCCAUCUUUAUUCAAAUGACUAAUGCAUGCCCAGUUUUUCUUUGACUUAUUUCUUUUAUGUGACCAAUACCAUAUUUUCCAACCUCAUUCUCGUUAUAUUUCAAACCCUUCUUACCAGAGAUUCCCAGUGAGAAACCAUCAUCGUUUUUAGAAGAACCCAAAACCUGGUAAGUAUCUAAUCUUUACCCUAAAUUUUCUUUUCGUUAUUUUUUUUAUCGAUUUUUGAUAUGUUCAUGCAUCAUUUUCGCCUAAAAUAGAUAAGGUAGUUUUAUUUUAGUAAUGUUUUUCCUUGAAUUAUCAAAAAUUUCUAAAUUCCUAAAAUAUUUCUUUUUUGUGAAAAGAAUAUUCAUUCUUGGUUCGAAACUUUGGAAGUUUGAGUUUUUAGAAUAGGAAAACCCAAAAUUGUUGCCUUACCUUUCAAAUCACGAUUGGAACAUCCAAAAACGAUAUUAAAAAUAAACGACGAGAAAAUUAUGUUGUUCAAUGAAAAACUUGACCGAGAAGAAAUUUCUGCUCGAUUUAAACGUUUUAUAGACGAGGUUGCUGGUGGGAAACGUCAUUUUUUGCGAGAUGCAACUUGGUCAAAGUCUCCUAGUUUAACUAAGUAUCCCUUGGCAAGACCUUUAUUUUUACCCGAGGUUACCAUUGCUUUUUCUCCAAGUAAACUAAAAUUUGACAUCAUGUCUUUCCAAAGAGUGUAAGUCCAAACUACCCUAGAAUCCCACAGUCCAAUUUGAGGCUCAGUUGAUUGAAUCUAAAGUCAGGUCAAUUGCCCUGUAUGUGGGUCCAUUUUUAAGGUCUUAUGGCAUCAAGAAUGAGAAUGGAUAUCUUAUUCGCUCAAUUGUACUAGGCGAGUUCAGUCAUAUUCCCCCAACUCGCAUGUCGAAAGAUGAAAGUUGUAGAACUAGCGACUCUUCAAAGAUUGGUGCUUGGAGUGUAGAGCAUAUUAAGGCAUGGAAUGUCCUUCCCCAUAGGCAAUACUUCAAGGAUUUUUAUAAUUAUGUUGAGGUUGUGCCUUUUCAGCUCAUCCCAAAUACUUAUAGGAUAUUGGCAUGCUUGAAGUUGCUCUUUCAUAUCUUAGAGUGGGAGUGUCCGACCCCUUUCGAGAUUAUGGGCUUUUAUGCUCUUAAGGCUUGUCUUGCAAGGAAGAAUUUCUCAGAUGGCUUCUAUUAUUUGGUUUAAAAUAGGCGGGCUGCGAUACUACCUUGUAGUGUCACGACACUUGAAGUUCGAUUUUUGGCAGCAAGCUUCCUAGUGCGACAGUUAAUAAUAUUUUAGUUAUAACUCUUUUAAUAUUUCUCAAAAUUGGACGAUUCAAGAUGUUUUAGAAAUCUGAAAGAAAAAUUUAGAACUUUUAUUCACAUUAUUUUUCUUCAAAGUGAAUGCAUUAUAGUUGAAAAUUUACUUGAAGUUUCAGACUUGAUUUUUGAUCACAAACGGAGCGUGUUGAGCAUCCAAAACUUAGAAUUUUUCACCACUUAUAUCCUAGCACUCCAAAUUCCAUGAUAGUUCAUCAUAUUCAUCUCAUUAGCAUGUUUAUUCUCAUUUUCAAUUCACAUUAUGAAUUUUACCAUUUAAACCUGAAACAAAUAGAAAAUAUUUGUAAUUCUACACAAAAUGAAUAUAAUCAAUUGAAACAUACAUAUAAAAUACUUUAUUAAGUGCACCUAAAACUAACCUAUCAAUUAAUUAUUACGACCAAAUUUUUUUACAAUGUAAGUUAUAUUAUUUAAUACAUAACAAAUGGUUUGUAUUAGCUUGUAUUAUAAUAUUUACAAAAGAUUCGAGGUCAACUCUAAUCUCCGAUUGGGCUUGUGACCCGAACUCAAAUCCAAACUCAAGACCCAGACCCGAACCUGAACUCGGAUGCGGACCAAGACCUAGAUCUGGGACCCAAAUCCACACUCGAACCCGUACUCGGGACUCGGACCCAGGAUGCGGAUGCAGACACAGACGUGGACGCAGACCGAACCUAGACUCGAACCUUGGACCUAGACCCAUACCCGGACCUUGGGCCCAGACCCCAGACUCGAACAUGAGACCUAGACCCGACUCGUAGUCAGUGUUGGGAUCGAGUUUAUUGAAAAUAUUAUAACUUUACACAAUCUAUUAAUACAAAUCAAUACCAAACAUAAUAUUGUAUUAAAUAAUACUAAUACAUUCUAAUCCAACACAAUACAACGUACCAAACAAAACAAGCCCUUAAGCCAUUGUUAGAGAGAAACUUUGAGUUGAGAAGGUUGUAAGAAGGGACUUGGGUUUGGAAAGUUUGAGUUGUGAGAGUUUACUAUUGUUGGAAGAUACUUCUCAACUGUGAUAAUUGUAUUGAUGAUUCUUUUAAAGUGGAUUGCUCUAGAUGAUGAGGCGAAAUUGGAGUAGCAUCAAUAAUAUUUGAUGUAAACCAGUAUAUUUCUUGGCGUUCUAUACAUUUUCUUUCUGCAAUUUAGUUUCUUGAUUUCUUAGUUGCAUCUACUAUUUUCUGAGAUACAUCUCUGCGCUUAACUCUUUUAAUAAACUGACUUUGUUUCAGUAUUUAUAUCUGCAACUUUGUUGUGCUUUAGUUUUGAUUGCAAACAGCGUUGUUGAUUUGCAACAACUUGCUUUGAAAAUGGUCUUAAAAUAGUGUUGAAAUGUAACCUAUAGCAUUAGUAUGUGAAAAUUGUAAACUCAAAGCACUAAAUCGUAUGAGAAAAGACAAUCAUAUAUAAUAUAUGAGAAGAAAUAUCACAGACAAAACAAAAUUAUGGGAAACCAGUUCAUUUUUAUUAAGAAUUAAGAUAAAACAAGCCUCUAAUUAAAUAAUAGCAGUAUUCCAAGUUUGAUAAUGUCAUUCAUUCUACAAACUUUUAAGUUUUAACUCUAUAGUACUUGUUCUUGGGCAAUUAUAAGACAAACCAUUACUAAAAUUUACAAUUAAAAGAAAAAGAAAAAAAAUUAUGAAAAAACUUAUUGGAAAAUUAUACAUGGUUUUACAUAUUUAGUUCAUUCAAGGAGAGGAAGAAGAAGGUGGGUUUUUUGGGCUAGGAGGUGUAGGAAAUGGGAAUGGCAACAAUGGAGGGAAAGGGAAUGGCAACAAUGGAGGUGGUGGUGAUGGAGGUGGUGGUGAAGGAGUAAAACCUGGUACAUUUAUUGGUGGGAAAGGAGGAAACAAUGGCCUUGGAGUUGGUGCUGGUGGAGGCUGAAAUGGGUUAGGAAAGAGUGGAGCUGGAGUUGGUGCUGGUGGGGGCUGGAAUGGGUUGGGAAUAAGAGGAGCUGGAGUUGGAGGGGGCUGAAAUGGGUUUGGAAUGAGUGGAGCUGGAGGGGGUUGGAAUGGGUUUGGGAUGAGUGGGGCUGGAGGAGGCUGGAAUGGGUUGGGAAUGAGUGGAGGUGGCUGGAAUGGGUUUGGGAUAAGUGGUGGCUGGAAUGGAUUUGGUGGGAAGAAAAAACCUGGGGUUGAUUCUUUAGUAUAGGUUUGUUGUUGAUGGGUGUUUAGUGAAGAUUGAAUUGGCUUAGGUUCUGCUUUUUUCUGGGGUCCUGGAAUUAUAGGUGAAACUACUCCUGGGAGAUUUGGUAAAGGUGGUAAAGGAGGGAGAUUUGGUAAUGGUGGGAGGAAAGGGAAUCCAGGAAGUGGAG